RNAcentral lists this ribosomal RNA (485 nucleotides) under uncultured bacterium. Its description in RNAcentral is "partial 16S ribosomal RNA". It matches the Rfam family "Bacterial small subunit ribosomal RNA", at positions 30 to 507 of the family's 1533-position model. The record is from RNAcentral.
AUUGAACGCUGGCGGCAUGCUUAACACAUGCCAGUCGAACGGAAACGAUGGAGCUUGCUCCAGGCGUCGAGUGGCGGACGGGUGAGUAACGCAUGGGAAUCUGCCUUUUGCUGGGGGAUAACGUAGGGAAACUUACGCUAAUACCGCAUAAGACCUAAGGGUGAAAGCGGGGGACCGAAAGGCCUCGCGGCAAGAGAUGAGCCCAUGUUGGAUUAGCUAGUUGGUGGGGUAAAGGCCUACCAAGGCGACGAUCCAUAGCUGGUCUGAGAGGAUGAUCAGCCACACUGGGACUGAGACACGGCCCAGACUCCUACGGGAGGCAGCAGUGGGGAAUAUUGGACAAUGGGGGGAACCCUGAUCCAGCAAUGCCGCGUGUGUGAAGAAGGCCUUCGGGUUGUAAAGCACUUUCAGUAGGGAGGAAAGGUGCGUAGUUAAUACCUGCGCAAUUGACGUUACCUACAGAAGAAGCACCGGCUAACUCCGUG